Molecule: long non-coding RNA, 910 nt
Organism: Marmota monax (woodchuck)
Lineage: Eukaryota; Metazoa; Chordata; Mammalia; Rodentia; Sciuridae
Exons: 3
Source: RefSeq, a predicted model, not a curated record
CGGCACCACCCUCCACGAGCCCAGCCAAUCGCCGGCCGUCUGGAGAAGUUCCCGCCCUCCGGGAGCCUUCCCGCCACGUGAUUAGCCUGUGAGGAAGCGAGGCGCGGACGCUGGGCGCCGGAAAUCACGUGAUGCUGAAGGCUCCAGCUUCUUAAAGCAACAGCUCUCGCUAGUUUGCGAAGCAGGUGUGUAUGGUUUGGCAUGCAUUGAAUAAACAUGUCCUCUAAUCCCAGCUACUCAGGAGGCUGAGGCAGGAAGAUCGCAAGUGCAAGACUGAAGCGAACCUCAGCAGCUUGUUUUCGGCAGACACAACAUCUUUGGUUGUAUGUGGUGCUGAGGAUUGAACCCGGGCCGCACGCAUGCCAGGCGAGCGCGCUACCGCUUGAGCCACAUCCCCAGCCCCAAGGGAGGAACUUUUUAUAUGAAGAUUCUCGGGAAUUAUUAUGAAAAAUACUCUAAAUCAAGAUCAUUCAUUCAGGAAACACUGAGGCCCAUGAUGUGCCAUGCCAGGUUCCCUGGGCACAGGGUAUAGAGAAACCCAGCAGAAUCACAGAAGAGCACACACAGGAACAAUGAUUAAACUCUGAGCUCUACGAGGACUAGCCUAAUUCUGUUUUCAAUGCAUGUUUGCAGGAUCCAACAUACGCCCUGACACACAACAGGAGCUUUUAAAGUGUUUGCAGACUAAAGGAAAAGUCCAAUCUCGACUGAGGGAAGUCUCAUUAUCCAAUUUUGCAGAGGACGCCUUGGGAAGGAAGCAACUGGCUGCCUGGGGCCUGGGAGGGUGAGAGGGCUUCCCAGAGUGGGUUGCACGGCCUUACAAGAUGAGUAGGAAUUAGGUAGAGAGUUGUUGGCUUGGGGCACUGUGUGCGCAAAGACCUUACAGCGCGAUGGGAGCAAACUUACUUUC